GACAGAGGAGCCAAGCGUUGUCCGGAUUGACUGGGCGUAAAGCGCACGCAGGUGGUCGCGCAAGUGCCGUGUGAAAGCCGGCGGCUUAACUGCCGGAGGCCAUGGCAGACUGCGUAACUCGAGUCCGAGAGAGGUCCGUGGAAUUGCCGGUGUAGUGGUGAAAUGCGUAGAGAUCGGGAGGAACACCAGUGGCGAAGGCGACUACCUGGCCUGUUCUUGACGCUGAGGCGCGAAAGCUAGGGUAGCAAACGGG
This 253-nucleotide ribosomal RNA is filed under the name uncultured bacterium. Its description in RNAcentral is "partial 16S ribosomal RNA". It matches the Rfam family "Bacterial small subunit ribosomal RNA", at positions 524 to 776 of the family's 1533-position model. The record is from RNAcentral.